This 923-nucleotide ribosomal RNA is filed under the name Myelochroa galbina. RNAcentral's name for it is "eukaryotic LSU rRNA". It matches the Rfam family "Eukaryotic large subunit ribosomal RNA", at positions 86 to 968 of the family's 3401-position model. Lineage: Eukaryota; Fungi; Ascomycota; Lecanoromycetes; Lecanorales; Parmeliaceae. The record is from RNAcentral.
ACGGCGAAGUGAAGCGGCAACAGCUCAAAUUUGAAAUCUGGCCCUUCUGGGGUCCGAGUUGUAAUUUGUAGAGAGUGCUUCGGGUGAGACCGCGGUCUAAGUCCAUUGGAACAUGGCGUCAUAGAGGGUGAGAAUCCCGUCUGCGAUCGUGGCUUGAGCCCGUGUGAAGCCUCUUCGACGAGUCGAGUUGUUUGGGAAUGCAGCUCAAAAUGGGUGGUAAAUUUCAUCUAAAGCUAAAUACUGGCUGGAGACCGAUAGCGCACAAGUAGAGUGAUCGAAAGAUGAAAAGCACUUUGGAAAGAGAGUCAAAAAGUACGUGAAAUUGUUGAAAGGGAAGCGCUUGCAACCAGACCUGCCCGUGGGCGAUCAACCGCUGUUCUCAGCGGUGCACUCGCUCUGCGAUCAGGCCAGCAUCGGUUUUGGCGGUCGGAUAAAGGCCUUGGGAAUGUAGCUCCCCUUCGGGGGAGUCUUAUAGCCCUCGGUGCAAUGCGGCCAGCCGAGACCGAGGACCGCGCUUCGGCUAGGAUGCUGGCGUAAUGGUUGUAAGCGACCCGUCUUGAAACACGGACCAAGGAGUCUAACAUCGAUGCGAGUGUUUGGGUGUCAAACCCAUGCGCGAAAUGAAAGUGAACGGAGGUGAGAACCCUUAAGGGCGCAUCAUCGACCGAUCCAGAUGUCUUCGGAUGGAUUUGAGUAUGAGCAUCGCUGCUGGAACCCGAAAGGUUUGUACCCCUGUUUUCUUGAUAACGGUGAGCCUUGCUAACAUUGUAUCCAGAUGGUGAACUAUGCCUGAAUAGGGUGAAGCCAGAGGAAACUCUGGUGGAGGCUCGCAGCGGUUCUGACGUGCAAAUCGAUCGUCAAAUUUGGGGUAUAGGGGGCGAAAGACUAAUCGAACCAUCUAGUAGCUGGUUCCUGCCGAAUUC